This 111-nucleotide ribosomal RNA is filed under the name Acanthosepion pharaonis. The record is from RNAcentral. Lineage: Eukaryota; Metazoa; Mollusca; Cephalopoda; Sepiida; Sepiidae.
AUGGCCACAUUAAGCUGAAACACUGGUUCCCAUAUGAUCAUACAAGUUAAGCAACAUUGAGCCUGGUCACUACCUAGGUAGGUGAAUGCUUUGGAAUACCAGGUGCUGUAA